GUGCCAGUCAUAUAAAAGUGAACAAGCGACAAAGAUUCCUGCUCUGGAGCUUACAUUCUACUAUGCUAAAAUGCAAUAAACGUAUCAUUGUAUAAAAUGUGGGGUGACAGGUGCCACCGAGUAGAAUAAAGCCAGGUAAAAGAGAACAGAGACCCUGUGUGGAUGAGGGUAGAGAACGCCAGGACUACAGACUAGAUUUUAAGAUUCCUGUUUUAUACAGGAAAAAAAAUAAGCCUCAGAGGAGUGACUUGCCUAAGCUGUUUUCCCUUGCUUUUUUUUUUUUUUUUUUUUUUUUUUGAUACGGCGUCUCGCUCAGUUGCCCAGGCUGGAGUGCAGUGGGUGGCAUGGUCUUGGCUCAUUGCAAUCUCCACCUCCCAGGCUCAAGCAAUUCUCCUGCUUCAGCCUCCCGAUUAGCUGGGAUUACAGGCACCCACCAACCAUGCCCGACUUUUUUUUUUUUUUUUUUUUUUUUGAGACGGAGUCUUGCUCUGUCUCCCAGGCUGGAGUGCAAUGGUGCCAUUGUGGCUGACUACAGCCUCCGCCUCUGGGUUCAAGCGAUUCUCCCACCUCAGCCCCCCAAGUAGCUGGGAUUACAGGUGCCCACCACCACGCCUGGCUAAUUUUUUGUAUUUUUGGUAGAGAGGAGGUUUCACCAUGUUGGCCAGGCCAGUCUCGAACUCCUGACCUCAGAUGAUCUGCCCGCCUAGGCCUCCCAAAGUACUGGGAUUACAGGUGUGAGCCACCCUGCCUGGCUAUUUGUUUUUUUUUUUUUUUUUUUUUUUUUUGAGAUAGGGUCUCAGUCGGUCCCCCAGGUUGGAGUGGAGUGCAGUGGCCUGAUCACAGCUCAUUGCCACUUUGGCCUCCUGGGGCUCAAGCUGUUUUCCCAGGGCUCAAGUGGUCCUCCCAGGGCUCAAGUAGUCCCCCAAGCUCAGUCUCCCCAGUCACUGGGACUACAAGCCUGCUCCACCACGCCCGGUAGAUUUUCUGGUUUUUUUUUUUUUUUUUUUUUUGUAGAGAUGGGGCUCUCACUUUGUUGUCAAGGCUGGUCUCGAACUCCUGGGCUCAAGUGAUCCUCCCAUUUCGGCCUCCCAAAGUGUUGGGAUUACAGGCAUGAGCCACAGUGCCAGGGCCGAGGCUCUUCUCAACUGCUGCAGCAGACAGCUUGGUUCUUGCCUCUCUGCAGACAGAAGACUUGUGUCUCAGGCUCAGUGCUUUGUCUCACAGAGUGCUGGACACACAAGAACAAAUUAUCUUUCUCUAGGUAUCCAUUUUUGGCUCUAGGCUCUCUGCUUCACAGGUGGAUGGAGUGAUGGGGAAGAUGCUGUGGCCAGUGCACCUAGGUUCAAAUCCUACCUCCCUGUGGUCUUGGGCAAGCUGCUUAACCUCUCUGCCUCAGCUUCUGCAUCUGUAUGUAACUUUUGCAAGUUUGUAAUGAGGAGAGCACUUAACACAGAGCCUAAGCCAAACAGUAAAUGCUUCCUAUUUUAUUGUCUCAGUCAUUUCACAGUCAUGACCCCUUCUGGGGAAGCUUGUGGGAAACUCUGACUCACAUUGCAGACUACCGAGCCACGGUCCCUUCCUCGGCUCCGUUUCUGCUCCCUCCACCCCACGAGGCUGGAGUGCAGUGGCGGGAUGAGAGUUCACUAUGAUCUCGACUUCCUGGACUCAGAUGGUUCUCCCACUUCAGCUUCCGGAUCUAAUAUUUCAAUAAUUUCAAGAACACUGCAUUCAUUCCUCUCCACAUGAGCAAUUGCCAAAAGUAGGCUUUACAUUUUUGCUCGUUUUCUUUUGGGUCUGUGGCUAGUCUCCACUUCCUUUUUUUUUUUUUUUUUUUUUUUUUUUUUUUUAAGAUAGUCUCACUCUGUCCCCCACAACCCCCAACCCCGGCUGGAGUGCAGUGGCCAGAUCUGGGCUUACUGCAACCUCUGCCUCCCAAGUUCAGGUGAUUCUUGUGCCUCAGCCUCCUGAGUAGCUGGGAUUACAGGCACGUGCCCACCAUGACUGGCUAAUUUUUUGCAUUUUUAGUAGAGACGGGGUUUUGCCAUGUUGGCCAGGUUGGUCUCGAACGCCUGGCCUCAAAGUGAUCCACCCGUUUGGGCCUCCCAAAGUGCUGGGAUUACAGGCCUGAGUUACUGCACCCGGCCUGUCCCCGAAAUUCGAUUGCAGCCGGCGAUAAAGCUUUUUUUUACCCCGCUUCUCGGCAAAGCGUUGUGUUUUUAUUUUAGCAGACUCACCUGGCACUAAGGACUGCUCUGGUGGUCUUCGGAGGCUCCUGGGAUCGACUGCUUGGACAGAGGUGACAUCACCCAAUUAGUGAGAGCCAAGACCUAAGGCUGCAGCUGCCUUCCAGCAGAGUAGCUGGGAUUACAGGCAUGUGCCACCACGCCCGGCUAAAUUUUUUUUGUAUUUUUAGUAGAGAUGGGGUUUCUCCAUGAUGGUCAGGCUGGUCUCAAACUGCCAAACUCAGGUGAUCCACCCGCACUGGCCUCCCAAAGUGCUGGGAUUACAGGUGUGAGCCACUGUGCCCGGCCCCCCUUUCUUCGUUUGCUCUAUCCUCCCGCUGAAGACAUUGCUUUCCUCUUUCUGUUUGCUCUCCCCACCUCUCACUCCAUUGUGCCUUGCACCUGUGCUGCCCACUACCUCUCCUUGUUGCUGUUGUCUCUCCUGGCUGCUGGUCACUCCAUGCCAACACUUACUUUAUUCCUUGAAGGUUUUUAGCUCCUGGAGCACUGACUUUCUCCAGCAUAACUCCUGUCAUCAAUCGACACCCUGGUUCCCCAAUUCCUUGACCUCAGCUUUGACUACCCCAGCCACUCACUUCCCUGGUCUAACCCUAGGUCAUGUCAUUGUCGAUUGCCAUAACCCCAUCCACUUCGAGGGUCACACUCUCCAAUCACCUCUACCAUCCCUCCCUCUGCUACCCUUUGGUACCUGUCACCCCACUCCCCACCCCCUCAACCCGCAUCCCCAAAGUCCUUGGGCCCACCUCCAACUAAUCUAACUGCACCAACUCUAACAAACUGCACCUGUGUCACUGAGUGUAACUGGUGGAAGCUGACUGGGCUCACCUUAACCCUGGGCAAGCUGGGGGAAAAUAGACAUCCCACAUUUGCUACCUGGGGCCCAAUAAGUCUGCAUUAGUCUGUGCUCGUGCUGCUAAUAAAAACAUACCGGAGACUGGGUAAUUUAUAAAGAAAAAGAGGUUUAAUGGACUCACAGUUCCACGUGGCUGGGGAAGCCUCACAAUCAUGGUGGAAGGUGAAAGGCAUGUCUUACAUGGUGGAAGGUGAGAGAGAACUUGUGCAAGGGAACUCCCCUUUAUAAAACCAUCAGAUCUUGUGAGACUUAUUCACUAUCAUGAGAACAAUAUGGAAAAGUCCUGGCCCCAUGAUUCAAUUACCUCCCACUGGGUCCCUCCCAUGACACGUGGGAAUUAUGGGAGCUACAAUUCAAGAUGAGACUUGGGUGGGGACACAGCCAAACCAUAUCAUUUUGCUGUAGCCCCUCCCAAAUCUCAUGUCCUCACAUUUCAAAACCUAUCAUGCCUUCCCAACAGUCUCCCAAAGUCUUAUUUCAGCAUUAACUCAAAAGUCUACAGUCCAAAGUCUCAUCUGAGACAAGGCAAGUCCCUUCCGCCUACCAGCCUGUACAAUCAAAAGCAAGUUAGGGUCGGGCAUGGUGGCUCAUGCCUGUGAUCCCAGCACUUUGGGAGGCCAAGGCAGGCAGAUCAUCUGAGUUCGGGAGUUUGAGACCAGUCUGGCCAACAUAGUGAAACCCCAUCUCUACUAAAAAUACAAAAAAAUUAGCCGGGCGUGGUGGCACAUGCCUGUAAUCCCAGCUACUCGAGAGGCCGAAGCAGGAGAAUCGCUUGAACCCAGGAGGCAGAGGUUGCAGUGAGCCAAGAUCAUGGCACUGCACUCCAGCCUGGGUGACAGAGUGAGACUCUGUCUCAAAAAGAAAAAAAAAAAAGCAAGUUUGUUAAUUCCUAGAUACAAUGAGGGUACAGGCAUUGAGUAAAUACAGCUGUUCAAAAUGGGAGAAAUUGGCCAAAACAAAGGGGUUACAGAUCUCCUAUGCAAGUCUGAAGUCCAGUGGAGCAGUCAAAUCUUUUUUUUUUUUUUUUUUUUUUUGAGAUGGAGUCUUGCUCUGUCACCCAGGCUGGAGUGCAGUGGCAUGAUCUUGGCUCACUGCAACCUCCACCUCCCGGGUUCAAGCAAUUCUUCUGCCUCAGCCUCCUGAGUAGCUGGGAUUACAGGCACAUGCCACAAUGCCUGGCUAAUUUUUUUUGUAUUUUUAGUAGAGACGGAGUUUCACCAUGUUGGCCAGGCUGGUCUUGAACUCCUGAACUCAAGCGAUCCUCCCACCUUGGCCUCCCAAAGUGCUGGAAUUACAGGAGUGAGCCGACAUGCCUGGCAGCAGUCAAAUCUUAAAGCCCCAAAAUGAUUUCCUUUGACUCCAUGUCUCAUGUCCAGGUCACACUGAUGCAAGAGGUGGGCUCCCAUGGCCUUGGCAGCUCUGCCCCUGUGGCUUUGCAGGGUAUAGCCCCCCCUCCCAGCUGCUUUCACAGGCAGGCCUUGAGUGUCUGUGGCUUUUCCAGGAGCAAGGUGCAAGCUGUCAGUGGAGCUACCAUUCUGGGGUCUGGAGGACAGUGACUCUUUUCUUGCAGCUCCACUAGGCACUGCCCCAGUUGGGAGUCUGUGUGAGGGCUUGCACCCCACAAUUUCCCUUUGCACUGCCCUAGCAGUGGUUCUCCAUGAGGGCUCCACCCCUGCAGCCCACCUCUACCUGGACAUCCAGGCAUUUCUACACAUCCUCUGAAAUCUUGGCAGAGGUUCCCAAGCCUCAAUUCUUGACUUCUGUGCACUCGCAGGCACAACACCACAUGAAAGCUGCCAAGGCCUAGGGUUUGCACCCUCUGAAGCCACAGCCUGAGCUGCACCUUGGCCCCUUUUAGCUGUGGCUGGAGCAGCUGGGAUACAAGGCACCAAGUCCCCAGGCUGCACAGAGCAGGGGGGCCCUGGGCACAGCCCAUGAAACCAUUUUUUCCUACUAGGCCUCCAAGCCUGUGAUGGGAGGGUCUGCCACAUGAAGGUCUCUGACAUACCCUGGAGACAUUUCCCCCCACUGUCUUCAUGAUUAACAUUUGGCUUCUCGUUACUUAUGCAAAUUUCUGAGGCCAGCUUGAAUUUCUCCUCUGAAUUUUUUUUUUUUUUUUUUUUUUUUUGAGAUGGAGUCUUGAUCUGUUGCCAGGCUGGAGUGCACUGGCACAAUCUCGGCUCAUUGCAACCUCCGCCUCCCGGGUUCAAGCGAUUCUCCUGCCUCAGCCUCCCGAGUAGCUGGGACUACAGGUGUGUGCCACCAUGCCCAGCUAAUUUUUGUAUUUUCAGUAGAGACCGAGUUUCACCAGGUUGGCCAGGAUGGUCUCAAUCUCUUGACUUCAUGAUCUGCCCACUUCAGCCUCUCAAAGUACUAGGAUUACGGGCAUCAGGCACUGCACCCGGCCUGGGUUUUUCUUUUCUACCGCAUUGUCAGGCUGCAAAUUUUUUGAAAUUGUAUGCUCAUUUUAACUUUUUUUUUUUUUUUUAAUGGAGUCUUGCUCUGUCACCCAGGCCAGAGUGCAGUGGCGUGAUCUUGGCUCAUUGCAACCUCUGCCUCCUGGGUUUAAGCAGUUCUCUGCCUCAGCCUCCCAAGUAGUGGGGAUUACAGGAGCCCACCACAACACCCUGCUAAUUUUUGUAUUUUUAGUAGAGAUGGGGUUUCACUAUAUUGGCCAGGCUGGUCUUGAACUACUGACCUUGUGAUCUGCUCAACUCAGCCUCCCAAAGGGCUGGGACUACAGGCAUGAGCCACUGCUCCUGGUCUGUUUCACUUUUACAACUGAAUGCUGGCCAGAUGUGGUGGCUCAUCCCUGUAAUCCCAGCACUUUGGGAGGCCUAGGCAGGCAGAUCACGAGGUCAAGAGUUUGAGACAAGCCUGCCAAUAUGGUGAAACCCCAUCUCUACUAAAAAUACAAAAAUUAGCCUGGCGUGGUGGUGGGCGCCUGUGGUCCCAGCUACUCGGGAGGCUGAGGCAGGAGAAUUGUUUGAACCCAGGAUGUGAAGGUUGCAGUGAGCCGAGAUCACGCCACUGCAGUCAGUCCAGCCUGGGCGACAGAGCGAGACUCCGUCUCAAAAAAAAAAAAAAAAUAAGAACAGAAUGCUACUGGGCACAAUGGCUCAUGCCUGUAAUCCCACCACUUUGGGAGACUGAGGUGGGCAGAUCAAUUCACAUCAGGAGUUUGAGACCAGCCUGGCAAACAUGGUGAAACCCUAUCUCUAAUAAAAAUACAAAAAUUGGCUGGGUGUGGUGGCAGGCACAUGUAAUCACAGCUACUCAGGAGACUGAGGCACGAGAAUCACUUGAUUCUCUGCGGGCAGAGGUUGCAGUGAGCCGAGAUCUUGCCACUGCAUGCCAGCCUGGGCAACAGAGACUAUCUCAAAAAAACAAAAAUAGCAAAAACAACAACAAAUCCUGGAUGCUUUUAACAGCACCAAAGUCACCUCUUGAAUGUUUGCUGCUUAGAAAUUCUGUAACCGCCAGGCGUGGUGGCUCACGCCUAUAAUCCCAACAUGUUGGGAGGCCGAGGCAGGAGGAUCACCUGAGGUCAGGAGUUUGAGACCAGCCGGAUCAACAUGGAGAAACCUGGUCUCUACUAAAAAUACAAAAUUAGCCAAGUGUGGUGGCACAUGCCUGUAAUCCCAGCUGCUCAGGAGGCUGAGGCAGGAGAAUCGCCUGAACCCAGGAGGCGGAGGUUGGGGUGAGCUGAGAUCCUGCCAUUGCACUCCCCUGGGCAACAGGAGCGAAACUCCAUCACGAAAAAAAAAAAGAAAGAAAGAAAAAAAGAAAUUCUGUAAUCGCCGGCACGGUGGCUCACACCUGUAAUCCCAACACUUUGGGAGGACGAGGCAGGCAGAUCACCUGAGUUAGAGACCAGCCUGCCCAACAUUGCGAAACCCCACCUCUACUAAAAAUACAAAAUUAGCUGGGCGUGGUGGCGCAUCCCUGUAAUCCCAGCUGCUCCAGAGGCUGAGGCAGGAGAAUCGCUUGUACCUGGGAGGUGGAGGUUGCAGUGAGCCGAGAUCGCGCCAUUCGACUCCAACACGCGAAUCAAGAGCAAAACUCCGACACAAAAAAAAAAAAAGAAAAGAAAAGAAAAAGACAAGAAAAAGAGAGAGAGAUGUUGGAAAGAAAAGCCUCACAGAAGGCAGGGCACGGUGACUCAAGCCUGUAAUCCGAGAACUUUGGGAGGCUGAGGGGGGCGGAUGACGAGGUCAGGAGAUGGAGACCAUCCUGGCUAACAGGAUGAGACCGCCGUCUCUACUAAAAAUAGGAAAAAUUUGCUGGGCGUGGUGGCCUACGCCUGUAAUCCCAGCUACCCAGGAGGCUGAGGCAGGAGAAUCGCUGGAACCCGGGAGGUAGAGGCUGCAGUGAGCCGAGAUCGCGCCACUGCACUCCAGCCUGGGCGACAGAGCAAGAGUUUGUCUGUAAAAAAAAAAAAAAAAAAAAAAAAAAAAAAAGCCAGGGUGAGCGGUGAUUGUGUUGGCGUGAAGCGAGGGAAACACUCGGCCGCAGGACAAAACUAAAACAGCAAGGGGGCACCGAAAGACUCAGUAGUCCACGUGAAUAUCCUGAUUAUGUUGUAGCUGAGAUAAUGUAGGGUCCACCCCUACCGGGUCUGUGGGUUUUCUCUUCGCGUGUGUGCGGAGACGAGAGAUCGAAGAGAUAAAGACAGAAGACAAAGAGAUAGGAAGAAAGACAGCUGGGCCCGGGGGACCACUGCCACCAAAGCGCGGAGACAGACAGGUAGUGGCCCCGAGUGCCUGGAGGCGCUGCUAUUUAUUGUAGUCAAGGCAAGGGGGCAGGGUAAGGAGUGCCAGUCAUCUCCAAUGAUCGAUAGGUCACGCGAGUCACGUGUCCACUGGACAGGGGGCCUUUCCCUUUGUGGUAGCCGAGGUGGAGAGGGAGGACAGCAAACGUCAGCGUUUCUUCUAUGCACUUAUCAGAAAGAUCGAAGACUGUGGUACUCCUACUAGUUCUGCUACUGCUGUCUUCUAAGAACUUAAAAGGAGGAGCCAGGUGUACAGGCUGAACAUGAAAGUGAACAAGGAGCGUGACCACUGAAGCACAGCAUCACAGGGAGACAGACGUUGGAGCCUCCGGAUGACUGCGGGCCGGCCUGGCUAAUGUCAGACCUCCCACAAGAGGUGGUGGAGCGGAGCGUUCUCUGUCUCCCCUGGAGAGAGGGAGAUUCCCUUUCCGGGUCUGCUAAGUAACGGGUGCCUUCCCAGGCACUGGGGCCACCGCUAGACCAAGGCCUGCUAAGUAACCAGGGCCUUCCCAGGCACUGGCAUUACUGCUUGGCCAAGGAGCCCUCAACCGGCCCUUAUGUGGGCAUGACAGAGGGCUCACCUCUUGCUUUCUAGGUCACUUCUCACAAUGUCCCUUCAGUACAUGAUCCUACACCCAUCAAUUAUUCCUAGGUUAUAUUAGUAAUGCAACAAAGACUAAUAUUAAAAGCUAAUGAUUAAUAAUGUUUAUACAUUAUUGAUUGAUAAUUGUCCAUGAUCAUCUCUAUAUCUAAUUUGUAUUGUAAGUAUUCUUUAUUCUAACUAUUUUCUUUAUUAUACUGCUACAGUUUGUGCCUUCAGUCUCCUGUCUUGGCACCUGGGUAAUCCUUCGUCCACAGCUGCCCAAAUCUCCCCUCUUUUUAUUGACUAGGAUCAUCAUUGCCAUCAUUGCUUGUUGACUUUGGGCUUUUCAUCGGACUCCCUGAAGACAUCUGCAUACUAAAAGCAGACAACAUAAACACACCAAUAUCAGUAAUGCUAGUGACAAUAGUGAACCUCUAAGGGGUUUGAUCCGUUUAAAAAGAUUAAGAUCGGAUAAUACUUUGGUGAUUUCCUCAAAAAUAUGAGAGCCAGGAACGGUAGUUAAGUGAGCCUGUGAGGCCCCCAAAAUUUGCUCUUUCAGUUUUGAAAUAUCUUAAGUUAGAUUAUCAUCCCAGGCUUUGAAUGUCUCAUGACUUUUUCCCAGCUAUGCUGAUCUUUUUUAUAAGCAUAAGGCAUUAUGCAAUAAUCAGAAUUAUUCCAAUCACAUUGUAAUUGCAUACGGUGUUGCAAAUUCAUAACUCUAUCUCCCAGCCAUAUCACACUCUGGUGGAGAUCAUUAAUUUGAUUAGCCAAAUUUGAUCAACUUGAGCCUGAGAAUUCCAGAGUCUGGUGGAGUUUUUGUUUGUUUGUUUGUUUUUUUGCCACACUUCCACAUAUUGAGUGGUCUGAACAGAGUUGUGGAUAGCAACUCCAGCUGCCAUUGCUGUGGCAGUGACAGCAAUUAAUCCUGCAAUGACUGCAAUAAGAGUAAAGAUGAAUCUCUUCGUUCUCUUAAGGAUUCCUUUAAGGAUUUCAUUGACUAUAUGAAUAGAGGGAGAAGACUCCCAAGGGUGGUGUAAAGAAACGGUAUCCUUACCCCCUCCCUAGCCCUUACCAGGAGAAUACUUGUUAUGGGAUGAAAUGUAACACGAAUACAUGUAAACAAUUUGCAAUCAUCAAAUUCUAUGGUUUGGCUGUUGGGGGGUGAUAAUUAUAUUUCCGACUAAUAGCAUAUAAGGGGAUUUUACACAGCUCCUGCUAGGUAUCACCUGUUCAGACAUCAAGGUGACUUUGUAUACGUCUGUCUUGGUAUUAGUGGGAAUGAUCUGAUAGGUUACAUUCCAUAUCCUAAUUCCAGUCAUGGCAGCAGCCAAUUUCCACAAUUCAGGAUGUUCUGGGGUAACAAUAGGAUGAAUCACUUUUGGUCUAGGAGGAAUGAUCACUUUGUCCAUCCAUUUGAAUGGGUAAGGAGACACCCAUUCCCUCAGCCUGUAGGACUGCCAUCCCUCCUCUACAUAAUCUAUCAAAUAGUUGAACUCAGAAUAUUUGGCAUUUAGGCUGGAAAAAUUUAGCCAAUAAUAUCCUCUUGGA
This 9998-nucleotide long non-coding RNA is filed under the name Homo sapiens (human). RNAcentral describes it as "HSALNT0240963". Lineage: Eukaryota; Metazoa; Chordata; Mammalia; Primates; Hominidae. The record is from RNAcentral.